CAUUUUAAGUGUAAAAUGCGAGGUUGAAGUGUCAACGGAAGUUUUUUUUUCGAAGUCGGUGCUAAUAUAAAAUAAUCAUCCAUUUCCUGCGAAUCAUCCUUACACGGGAAAAUGUUGUGACCGAACGUCGCUGCUACGCUCCUCCUGGCUGAGCUGAGUGGAUUCAAAAAUUCGAGUUCAGCGAAUAUGGUGUGGAUUGAGGUGAAAUUGUUGAGUGGACAUCCGUACGAAAAGGGUCCCGUAAAUACAGCUUAUGUAUUCAGUUUCCCGCGCUCAGUAAGGGCGGUGCGAUGGUGGCGAGUGUGGCAGAAUAUGUUCUGAGAUGAUUAGAUAAGCUAUAUUAGACAAUAAAUCAAAUUUAACAAAUAA
This is a long non-coding RNA of Armigeres subalbatus, 369 nucleotides long. RefSeq lists it as uncharacterized. The record is from RefSeq and is a predicted model, not a curated record. Lineage: Eukaryota; Metazoa; Arthropoda; Insecta; Diptera; Culicidae. The transcript has 3 exons.